This 730-nucleotide ribosomal RNA is filed under the name Shigella sonnei. RNAcentral's name for it is "partial 23S ribosomal RNA". It matches the Rfam family "Bacterial large subunit ribosomal RNA", at positions 2211 to 2925 of the family's 2925-position model. The record is from RNAcentral. Lineage: Bacteria; Pseudomonadati; Pseudomonadota; Gammaproteobacteria; Enterobacterales; Enterobacteriaceae.
UGUUUGAUGUUCUAACGUGGACCCGUGAUCCGGGUUGCGGACAGUGUCUGGUGGGUAGUUUGACUGGGGCGGUCUCCUCCUAAAGAGUAACGGAGGAGCACGAAGGUUGGCUAAUCCUGGUCGGACAUCAGGAGGUUAGUGCAAUGGCAUAAGCCAGCUUGACUGCGAGCGUGACGGCGCGAGCAGGUGCGAAAGCAGGUCAUAGUGAUCCGGUGGUUCUGAAUGGAAGGGCCAUCGCUCAACGGAUAAAAGGUACUCCGGGGAUAACAGGCUGAUACCGCCCAAGAGUUCAUAUCGACGGCGGUGUUUGGCACCUCGAUGUCGGCUCAUCACAUCCUGGGGCUGAAGUAGGUCCCAAGGGUAUGGCUGUUCGCCAUUUAAAGUGGUACGCGAGCUGGGUUUAGAACGUCGUGAGACAGUUCGGUCCCUAUCUGCCGUGGGCGCUGGAGAACUGAGGGGGGCUGCUCCUAGUACGAGAGGACCGGAGUGGACGCAUCACUGGUGUUCGGGUUGUCAUGCCAAUGGCACUGCCCGGUAGCUAAAUGCGGAAGAGAUAAGUGCUGAAAGCAUCUAAGCACGAAACUUGCCCCGAGAUGAGUUCUCCCUGACCCUUUAAGGGUCCUGAAGGAACGUUGAAGACGACGACGUUGAUAGGCCGGGUGUGUAAGCGCAGCGAUGCGUUGAGCUAACCGGUACUAAUGAACCGUGAGGCUUAACCUUACAACGCCGA